CCUACGGGUGGCAGCAGUGGGGAAUAUUGGUCAAUGGGGGGAACCCUGAUCCAGCCAUGCCGCGUGUGUGAAGAAGGCCCUCGGGUUGUAAAGCACUUUCAGUGAGGAAGAACGCCUGGUGGUUAAUACCCAUCAGGAAAGACAUCACUCACAGAAGAAGCACCGGCUAACUCCGUGCCAGCAGCCGCGGUAAUACGGAGGGUGCGAGCGUUAAUCGGAAUUACUGGGCGUAAAGCGCGCGUAGGUGGCUUGAUAAGCCGGUUGUGAAAGCCCCGGGCUCAACCUGGGAACGGCAUCCGGAACUGUCAAGCUAGAGUGCAGGAGAGGAAGGUAGAAUUCCCGGUGUAGCGGUGAAAUGCGUAGAGAUCGGGAGGAAUACCAGUGGCGAAGGCGGCCUUCUGGACUGACACUGACACUGAGGUGCGAAAGCGUGGGUAGCAAACAGGAUUAGAUACCCUUGUAGUC
This 465-nucleotide ribosomal RNA is filed under the name Vreelandella stevensii. RNAcentral describes it as "partial 16S ribosomal RNA". It matches the Rfam family "Bacterial small subunit ribosomal RNA", at positions 338 to 795 of the family's 1533-position model. The record is from RNAcentral. Lineage: Bacteria; Pseudomonadati; Pseudomonadota; Gammaproteobacteria; Oceanospirillales; Halomonadaceae.